Dermacentor albipictus is the source of this 189-nucleotide small nuclear RNA. RefSeq annotates it as U2 spliceosomal RNA. Lineage: Eukaryota; Metazoa; Arthropoda; Arachnida; Ixodida; Ixodidae. The record is from RefSeq and is a predicted model, not a curated record.
AUAACUUAGACAUGGCCGACGCGGGUCAAAGUGUAGUAUCUGUUUAUCAGCUUAAUAUCUAAUGCAGGUUGUAUUUGGAGCUGAGAUAUGAAUCCUAUUUUUGCAAGUUGACGGAAUGCUGAAAGCCUGCUUCACCGCCACCGCGGGUGGGUCCUGUAUUGCACAUUCGUCGGGAUCGGCCCACGUAUG